ACUCCUACGGGAGGCAGCAGUAGGGAAUUUUUCGCAAUGGAGGGAAACUCUGACGGAGCAAUACCGCGUGUGGGAAGAAGAUUUUCGGAUUGUAAACCACUGUUGUAAGGGGAAGAACGUUAUUAGUAGGAAAUGGCUAAUAAGUGACGGUACCUUACCAGAAAGGGACGGCUAAACUACGUGCCAGCAGCCCGCGGUAAUACGUAGGUCCCGAGCGUUAAUCCGGGAAUUAUUGGGCGUAAAGGGCACGUAGGCGGACAAAAUAAGUUUAGAUGUCAAAGUAUGAUGGCUCAACCAUCAAGAGGCGUUGAAAACUGUUUAUCUAGAAUCUCGGAGAGGUAAGUGGAAUUCCAUGUGUAGCGGUGGAAUGCGUAGAUAUAUGG
This 383-nucleotide ribosomal RNA is filed under the name uncultured bacterium. RNAcentral describes it as "bacterial SSU rRNA". It matches the Rfam family "Bacterial small subunit ribosomal RNA", at positions 335 to 701 of the family's 1533-position model. The record is from RNAcentral.